CGUAACAAGGUCUCUGUAGGUGAACCUGCGGAGGGAUCAUUACACAAAUAUGAAGGCGGGCUGGAACCUCUCGGGGUUACAGCCUUGCUGAAUUAUUCACCCUUGUCUUUUGCGUACUUCUUGUUUCCUUGGUGGGUUCGCCCACCACUAGGACAAACAUAAACCUUUUGUAAUUGCAAUCAGCGUCAGUAACAAAUUAAUAAUUACAACUUUCAACAACGGAUCUCUUGGUUCUGGCAUCGAUGAAGAACGCAGCGAAAUGCGAUAAGUAGUGUGAAUUGCAGAAUUCAGUGAAUCAUCGAAUCCUUGAACGCACAUUGCGCCCUUUGGUAUUCCAAAGGGUAUGCCUGUUCGAGCGUCAUUUGUACCCUCAAGCUUUGCUUGGUGUUGGGCGUCUUGUCUCUAGCUUUGCUGGAGACUCGCCUUAAAGUAAUUGGCAGCCGGCCUACUGGUUUCGGAGCGCAGCACAAGUCGCACUCUCUAUCAGCAAAGGUCUAGCAUCCAUUAAGCCUUUUUUUCAACUUUUGACCUCGGAUCAGGUAGGGAUACCCGCUGAACUUAAGCAUAUCA
This 570-nucleotide ribosomal RNA is filed under the name uncultured fungus. Its description in RNAcentral is "eukaryotic LSU rRNA". The stretch from base 208 to 361 matches the Rfam family "5.8S ribosomal RNA". The record is from RNAcentral. Lineage: Eukaryota; Fungi.